CGCGUGUGUGGCGUCACCAAUCCUGGCCUGUGUGUGACUCCCCAGGGUCCUCCACCAGCAGCCUGGCCCCAGGCCCUGAGCCAGGCCCCCAGCCCGCCCUGCACGUCCAGGCGCAGGUGAACAACAGCAACAACAAGAAGGGUACCUUCACGGACGACCUGCACAAGCUGGUGGACGAGUGGACGAGCAAGACGGUGGGGGCCGCGCAGCUGAAGCCCACGCUCAACCAGCUGAAGCAGACCCAGAAGCUGCAAGACAUGGAGGCCCAGGCAGGCUGGGCUGCCCCUGGCGAGGCGCGGGCUCCCCAAGAACUAGGCUUCUCCACUUUACAGAUUGGGAGGUGAGCGACGCGCCCACAGCUCCGCAGCUGGCAGGUGGAAAGGACAGGCCAGGCCAGGCCGGGGCUGUGACUCCACAGCUCAGAUACAGCAGCUGCCCCAGCCUGGGCAGCCCAAGCCCCGCACUCAGAGCAGGUAGCCCUGGUCUUGGCAGACAGGCCCACCUCUGCCUGGGUUCUGUUUGUGCCCAGGCUGGAGACCAGGGCAGGUGUGCAUGUCACCCAAGUGACACCAGCGUCGGGCCAUAGUUCACACGCACCUGAGCCAAUGUGGGGUGGAAGUGAGGACCUGCUGUCCUAGGUUUUCACACCUAACUUGUUUGAUGUCAGCGCGAGUUGGAGAAGCAUCUGCUGUUUUUCAGCUUUC
This 704-nucleotide long non-coding RNA is filed under the name Pan troglodytes (chimpanzee). Its description in RNAcentral is "long non-coding RNA NONPTRT017550". The record is from RNAcentral. Lineage: Eukaryota; Metazoa; Chordata; Mammalia; Primates; Hominidae.